RNAcentral lists this unclassified non-coding RNA (205 nucleotides) under Hevea brasiliensis (rubber tree). Lineage: Eukaryota; Viridiplantae; Streptophyta; Magnoliopsida; Malpighiales; Euphorbiaceae. The record is from RNAcentral.
AGAGGCCCAUCAGAAUGGCCGAAAUCCUUGCCCGCGUCAUGAAGCGCCGUCCCGUAUCCAUAAGUUCAAUCUAUGGGCGGCAACGUCUCCGAUUGAGGCGCGCCCGUCAACACCAUGAACACGCAAAUUGAGGGGGAGUUCAGCGUCAUGCCACCCCCCUUUGAAGCGCUCUUCGAAACCCUUGGCCCCGGUGGACAAGCCCUUU